This 253-nucleotide ribosomal RNA is filed under the name uncultured bacterium. Its description in RNAcentral is "partial 16S ribosomal RNA". It matches the Rfam family "Bacterial small subunit ribosomal RNA", at positions 524 to 776 of the family's 1533-position model. The record is from RNAcentral.
UACAGAGGGGGCAAGCGUUGUUCGGAAUUACUGGGCGUAAAGGGCGCGUAGGCGGCCUUCUAAGUCGAACGUGAAAUCCCCGGGCUCAACCUGGGAACUGCGUCCGAUACUGGAAGGCUUGAAUCCGGGAGAGGGAUGCGGAAUUCCAGGUGUAGCGGUGAAAUGCGUAGAUAUCUGGAGGAACACCGGUGGCGAAGGCGGCAUCCUGGACCGGUAUUGACGCUGAGGCGCGAAAGCCAGGGGAGCAAACGGG